GUGUCAUAAUUAUGGUUUUCGAUGCUGCCUUGUUACCUACGGUACCAGGUAGAAAGUAAGUCAUCUCGUACCGUGAGUAAUAAAGCAUUCUCGGAGGCUCA
Molecule: microRNA precursor, 101 nt
Filed under: Ciona savignyi (Pacific transparent sea squirt)
Lineage: Eukaryota; Metazoa; Chordata; Ascidiacea; Phlebobranchia; Cionidae
Description: microRNA csa-mir-126 precursor
Gene: csa-mir-126
Rfam family: mir-126 microRNA precursor family (bases 20-93)
Source: miRBase by way of RNAcentral